UAACCUCAUUGUGCGAACGCGGGGAUCUUUGAUCCGUGAGGAAAGUCCGAGCAUCAUAGAGCGGGAUAACUGCUAACGGCAGCCGAGGGCGACCUUAGGGCAAGUGCAACAGAGAUAUACCGCUUUCGGAAGCUUGCUUCUUGAAAGUAAGGGUGGAAAGGCGAGGUAAGAGCUCACCGGAGCAUAGGUAACUAUGCUGCCAUGUAAACCCUAUCCGAUGCAACGCCGAUUGGUACGGAGAGAAAUGCGUCUGCUCGGCGUACUCCGAUAUAGGCGGCUUGAUCCUGCGGGUGACCGCAGGAGUAGAUAAAUGUUCGUACACGACAGAACUCGGCUUAUAGAUGAGGUUAUAUU
Molecule: RNase P RNA, 354 nt
Filed under: Ruminiclostridium sp.
Lineage: Bacteria; Bacillati; Bacillota; Clostridia; Eubacteriales; Oscillospiraceae
Description: RNase P RNA component class A
Rfam family: Bacterial RNase P class A
About the family: Ribonuclease P (RNase P) is a ubiquitous endoribonuclease, found in archaea, bacteria and eukarya as well as chloroplasts and mitochondria. Its best characterised activity is the generation of mature 5'-ends of tRNAs by cleaving the 5'-leader elements of precursor-tRNAs.
Source: RNAcentral